CAGCCGCCGCGGGAAUACGUAGGGUGCGAGCGUUAAUCGGAAUUACUGGGCGUAAAGCGUGCGCAGGCGGUUCGUUAAGACAGAUGUGAAAUCUUCGGGCUCAACCCGAAGCCUGCACGAGAAACUACCGGGCUUGAGUAUUGGAGAGGUGAGUGGAAUUCCCGGUGUAGCGGUGAAAUGCGUAGAUAUCGGAAGGAACACCUGUGGCGAAAGCGGCUCACUGGACAAUAACUGACGCUGAUGCACGAAAGCUAGGGGAGCAAACAGGAUUAGAUACCCGCGUAGUCCCUGUCUCUUAUAC
Molecule: ribosomal RNA, 301 nt
Filed under: uncultured bacterium
Lineage: Bacteria
Description: partial 16S ribosomal RNA
Rfam family: Bacterial small subunit ribosomal RNA
Source: RNAcentral